GAUUUCUGAUUCAAAAUCUCUAAUACCUGGUUUAACCAAAGAUCAAUAUUCCUAGCUUAUGUUGCUGCUCCAACAGACACAGAUGUCAGAGUCUCAGCAGCAGUCCAGUCUUAUGGCAUCAACCAACUUUUCUGGUAAUUUUUCUCCAACCAAUCAUUUAAAGAAUGUAUCCUAUGGGGCUUGCAUGCUAACCAAAAUAAGUGACUGCAUUUGGAUUAUAGACUCUAGUGCCACUGAUCACAUGACCUCUAAUAAAGACCUUCUGUUUGAUAUUAAGCCUUUAGUAAUACCAUAUCUAGUUACCUUGACCGAAUAAGUGAUUGCAUUUGGAUUAUAGACUCUGUGCCACUGACCACAUGACCUCUAAUAAAGACCUUCGGUUUGAUAUUAAGCCUUUAGUAAUACCAUAUCUAGUUACCUUGUCCAAUGGCUAUAAGGUUAAGGUAACAUGCACUGGCUCCAUACAAUUCCUUUGUUUCACUCUACAUCGUGUCCUUUAUAUUUCCAGUUUUCACUACAAUCUCAUCUCUGUGUCCAAACUUGUAUGCCAGUUAAAUUCUAUUGUCCUAUUUACUAAAUUCUCUUGUUUAAUACAGGCCCCUUCUCUGAAGAGGCCACUGGAGAUUGGUAAAUUGGAUAAUGGUCUCUACAGGCUUGUGCAAUCUUCUUCUUUUAAAUCUCUUGAUCUUAGUAAAUACCAUGCUCAAUUAACUGUUGAUUCUGUUUCUUCCUCUCAUUAUACAUACCAUUCUGAAUUGAAUAAAAUGGAGAUGUUAUGGCAUAAUAGACUAGGGCAUAUACUUGAUGAUUUUACCAGAGCUACUUGGACCCACCUUAUGGGGUCCAAGAGCAAUGCCUUUCCCCUUAUUAAAGCCUUCAUUGCCAUGGUUAAGACUCAAUUCCAGUCUGUGGUACAAACCAUUAGGAGUGAUAAUGCAUUUGAACUUGGCUCUAGUAGCUGUGGCAGCAACUUCUUUGCUGAAAAUGGAAUAAUGCAUCAAACUUCUUGCUCUCACACACCACAACAAAAUGGUGCAGUUGAGAGAAAGCAUAGAUACAUGCUAGAAACCUCAAGAGCUCUACUCUUUCAUUCUCACCUACCCAUUAGAUUUUGGGGUGAUUGUGUGCUUACUGCAACCUAGCUCAUUAACAGGUUUCCUUCCAAACUUCUUAACAAUAAAUCCCCUUUUGAAUUGCUGUUUGGCCAGAUUCCAUCCUAUAACCACCUUAAAACAUUUGGUUGCUUAUGUUUUGCCUCAGUCCCUAAACAGAAUAGAGAUAAAUUCUAGCCCAGAGCUG
RNAcentral lists this long non-coding RNA (1299 nucleotides) under Nicotiana benthamiana. RNAcentral's name for it is "long non-coding RNA (NBEN_LNC025440)". The record is from RNAcentral. Lineage: Eukaryota; Viridiplantae; Streptophyta; Magnoliopsida; Solanales; Solanaceae.